RNAcentral lists this long non-coding RNA (635 nucleotides) under Homo sapiens (human). RNAcentral's name for it is "HSALNT0271057". Lineage: Eukaryota; Metazoa; Chordata; Mammalia; Primates; Hominidae. The record is from RNAcentral.
AAAUUAUGCUAGUUCUGUGGGCACACCAAUCAAGGAAGUAAGAGACCUGUUUCUUGGGCAGCUCUCUGAAAAGCUGGAAUGUUGGAGGCAUGCUCUAUUCUUUUCUCCCAGAGGAAAAAGAUGUGAAGAGGCAUUCUGUCUUGGCACUGAGCUGUGCUAACUUGGGGGAGAGGCUGAUGCAGGCAUUCCUGUAAACUUAUAUUCAUGAAGAAAGUCAGAGUACUUGUUGCAGAUGCAAUGCUAGGUCUUCAGCCAUGUGCUAUAGAAACAGAAGGUGACAAAUAUAACCAAGGAUUGGGAGGAGAAAAAGAAGAAAGCCAAUUUGGGAAAUGAGACUGUAAAGUUUAUAAUGCUACUGAUUUUCAAACAUUUUCAGAAGCAAUGGAAAGAAGAAUGCGAAGAAAAUGAGUUUAUUUUCCAAAAUGCUUUUUUUGUUAUUGUUUUGCAAUUUCCCUUUGUUAACAUCAUAUAGGUUAUGGGGGUUUCUGUUUUGAAAAAAAUAAAUACUGCACCGUGUGUGGAUUGCUACUCAGCACUCAGCAAUAAACAAGUCAAUGAAUGCUCUAGGUUUUAAUGAAUUCGGUUUUACUUCUUUACAUCUACUUAUUAGCUUCUCUACCUAAGAUGUGUACACG